This 340-nucleotide ribosomal RNA is filed under the name uncultured cyanobacterium. RNAcentral describes it as "bacterial SSU rRNA". It matches the Rfam family "Bacterial small subunit ribosomal RNA", at positions 394 to 749 of the family's 1533-position model. Lineage: Bacteria; Bacillati; Cyanobacteriota. The record is from RNAcentral.
ACGCCGCGUGGGGGAAGAAGGCMUCUGGGCUGUAAACCCCUUUUCUCAAGGAAGAAGACCUGACGGUACUUGAGGAAUAAGCCACGGCUAAUUCCGUGCCAGCAGCCGCGGUAAUACGGGAGUGGCAAGCGUUAUCCGGAAUUAUUGGGCGUAAAGCGUCCGCAGGCGGCCUUGUAAGUCUGCUGUCAAAGCGUGGAGCUUAACUCCAUAUCGGCAGUGGAAACUGUAAGGCUUGAGUGUGGUAGGGGCAGAGGGAAUUCCCGGUGUAGCGGUGAAAUGCGUAGAUAUCGGGAAGAACACCAGUGGCGAAGGCGCUCUGCUGGGCCAUCACUGACGCUCA